Molecule: ribosomal RNA, 1516 nt
Filed under: uncultured bacterium
Lineage: Bacteria
Description: bacterial SSU rRNA
Rfam family: Bacterial small subunit ribosomal RNA
Source: RNAcentral
AGAGUUUGAUCCUGGCUCAGGAUGAACGCUAGCUACAGGCUUAACACAUGCAAGUCGAGGGGCAGCAUGAUCUUAGCUUGCUAAGAUUGAUGGCGACCGGCGCACGGGUGCGUAACGCGUAUCCAACCUGCCGUGUACUCCGGGAUAGCCCUCUGAAAGGAGGAUUAAUACCGGAUGUGGUCGGGUGAAGACAUCUUUUCCCGAUUAAAGAUUUAUCGGUACACCGAUGGGGAUGCGUACGAUUAGGUAGUCGGCGGGGUAACGGCCCACCGAGCCUUCGAUCGUUAGGGGUUCUGAGAGGAAGGUCCCCCACAUAGGAACUGAGACACGGUCCUAACUCCUACGGGAGGCAGCAGUGAGGAAUAUUGGUCAAUGGGCGAGAGCCUGAACCAGCCAAGUAGCGUGAAGGAAGACUGCCCUAUGGGUUGUAAACUUCUUUUAUAGGGGAAUAAAGUGCGUCACGUGUGGCGUUUUGUAUGUACCCUAUGAAUAAGCAUCGGCUAAUUCCGUGCCAGCAGCCGCGGUAAUACGGAAGAUGCGAGCGUUAUCCGGAUUUAUUGGGUUUAAAGGGAGCGUAGGCGGACGCUUAAGCCUGCGGUCAAAUGUCAGCGCCCAACGCUGGCCUGCCGUGGGAACUGGGUGUCUUGAAUGUGCACAAGGAAGGUGGAAUUCGUGGUGUAGCGGUGAAAUGCUUAGAUAUCACGAAGAACUCCGAUUGCGAAGGCAGCCUUCUGGGGCAUGAUUGACGCUGAGGCUCGAAAGCGCGGGAAUCAAACAGGAUUAGAUACCCUGGUAGUCCGCGCCGUAAACGAUGAGUGCCCGCUUUUGGCGAUAUACUGUCAGAGGCUGAGCGAAAGCAUUAAGCACUCCACCUGGGGAGUACGCCGGCAACGGUGAAACUCAAAGGAAUUGACGGGGGCCCGCACAAGCGGAGGAACAUGUGGUUUAAUUCGAUGAUACGCGAGGAACCUUACCCGGGCUUGAAUUGCACAGGACGGGGUGCAGAGACGCACCCUUUCUUUGGACCUGUGUGAAGGUGCUGCAUGGUUGUCGUCAGCUCGUGCCGUGAGGUGUCGGCUUAAGUGCCAUAACGAGCGCAACCCCUUCGUGUAGUUGCCAUCAGGUGAUGCUGGGCACUCUGCACGUACUGCCAUCGCAAGAUGUGAGGAAGGUGGGGAUGACGUCAAAUCAGCACGGCCCUUACGUCCGGGGCUACACACGUGUUACAAUGGGGGGCACAGAGAGCUGCUGGCCGGCGACGGUUGGCUAAUCUACAAAUCCCCUCUCAGUUCGGAUCGGAGUCUGCAACCCGACUCCGUGAAGCUGGAUUCGCUAGUAAUCGCGCAUCAGCCAUGGCGCGGUGAAUACGUUCCCGGGCCUUGUACACACCGCCCGUCAAGCCAUGAAAGCCGGGGGUGCCUGAAGACUGGGAUGACCGGUCUAGGGUAAAACUGGUGAUUGGGGCUAAGUCGUAACAAGGUAGCCGUACCGGAAGGUGCGGCUGGAACACCUCCUU